Molecule: transfer RNA, 103 nt
Filed under: Nemania serpens
Lineage: Eukaryota; Fungi; Ascomycota; Sordariomycetes; Xylariales; Xylariaceae
Description: tRNA-Met
Rfam family: tRNA
About the family: Transfer RNA (tRNA) molecules are approximately 80 nucleotides in length. Their secondary structure includes four short double-helical elements and three loops (D, anti-codon, and T loops).
Source: RNAcentral
GUCUUCGUGGCUCAGUUGGCUAGAGCGUUGGUCUCAUACUCGUUAUGAUCCAGUCACAGAUUGGGCUAUCCAAAGGUCGUGAGUUCGAGCCUCACCGAGGACA